UGGCGAACGGGUGAGUAACACGUGGGUGAUCUGCCCUGCACUUCGGGAUAAGCUUGGGAAACUGGGUCUAAUACCGGAUAGGAGCCAUCUUUAGUGUGGUGGUUGGAAAGUUUUUUCGGUGUAGGAUGAGCUCGCGGCCUAUCAGCUUGUUGGUGGGGUAAUGGCCUACCAAGGCGGCGACGGAUAGCCGGACUGAGAGGUUGGUCGGCCACAUUGGGACUGAGAUACGGCCCAG
Molecule: ribosomal RNA, 235 nt
Filed under: uncultured Actinomycetales bacterium
Lineage: Bacteria; Bacillati; Actinomycetota; Actinomycetes; Actinomycetales
Description: partial 16S ribosomal RNA
Rfam family: Bacterial small subunit ribosomal RNA
Source: RNAcentral